RNAcentral lists this ribosomal RNA (443 nucleotides) under uncultured bacterium. Its description in RNAcentral is "partial 16S ribosomal RNA". It matches the Rfam family "Bacterial small subunit ribosomal RNA", at positions 338 to 795 of the family's 1533-position model. The record is from RNAcentral.
CCUACGGGAGGCAGCAGUGGGGGAUAUUGGACAAUGGGGGAAACCCUGACCCAGCGACGCCGCGUGAGUGAAGAAGUAUUUCGGUAUGUAAAGCUCUAUCAGCAGGGAAGAAAGAAAUGACGGUACCUUAGUAAGAAGCUCCGGCUAACUACGUGCCAGCAGCCGCGGUAAUACGUAGGGGGCAAGCGUUAUCCGGAAUUAUUGGGUGCAAAGGGAGCGUAGACGGGAAUGCAAGCCUGGAGUGAAAGGCAGGGGCCCAACCGCCGGACUGCACUGGAAACUGGGUAACUGGAGUGCAGAAGAGGCAGGCGGAAUUCCUAGUGUAGCGGUGAAAUGCGUAGAUAUUAGGAGGAACACCAGUGGCGAAGGCGGCCUGCUGGACUGUAACUGACGUUGAGGCUCGAAAGCGUGGGGAGCAAACAGGAUUAGAUACCCCUGUAGUC